AAUCUGUAUCAUUUAAAAUUAUAAUAUCGAAGGUAGGGAAAUUAGUUUGAACCAGUUACGUGAUAUACGUAUAAUAAAAAAAUAAGAGGAAAAUAAAGGAAGAAGAAAAGCGUGAAACGCGAAUACUCGAUCGAGCGAAGGAAUGCACGGUGGUGGGUCGAGUUAGGAGAUUAUUAGGGAUGGUGUGGAGGGUAGGAGAUGGAAUCAGAGAGGAAACGCGAGGUUUGAGGGGAUGUCGGUGCGUAAAAGGAGAAUGCAUAGGUUACUAGCAGCCGACGCCAGUAUCGACCGGUCGCGCUACGCGUACAUCUACACCCCUUGGCGUCUGCAUGGUCGGGGACAAUUUCUCUCCGAUUAUUCGAUCCAUCAGUUUACCAUUUCCUCCGAGAAAACCGUUGGACGUGCGAGCUUUUCUUCGAUCCAUGUGCAAACAAAGCUUCAAGUUUGCGCGAUAAUCCGUUAAUGCACUUUACACCGAUUCACCUUAAUCAACCGUAUAAUCGCGAGCUUACUCGCUAUUUUAUCCCCCGUUAUAUCUUUACGUUGCUCUUUUAUCAUGUAGAUGAGCGAUAAGAUUGUGAAAAUUUUUCAAGAUUAGAACAAUUUCGAGAUUCGAUCAGAUAUUAUGCUAAAAUUUAAGCGCUUCUUCGUUCGUUAAACUACCAUUAUUGAUCACGAUGAAUCUAAAUUGUUUCGAUUUAGAAAAUUUCAAUCGUAAGAAGGGGGAAACACCGUGUUUCAAGGAAUGGAAUGGAAUUUUAAACCGAGUUUGAAACGAUUCGGAACUAAUUUCGUUUCUGAACACAAUCGUUAUGAAACGUGUAUAUCGCGAGAAGUUGGGACAUUAGUGAAAAUCAGAUAUGCAGGGGGUAAGAUGGAGGAGGAGGAAGUUGAGACAGAAGAAAAAAGGAAAAAGGAAAUAAAAAAGGCGAAGGACCACGAACCGUUGAGCUGUAAUCUCUAUGGAUUAUCGGGUUGAAAAGGCUUAAUGCACAAAGGCCGCCCAAGGCGGGUGGAUGCGGUGAAGUUGGAAGGGUGUGUCUCGGAAAAAAAAGCGGAUGAAUAGCGGUGAAACGAAAGGAGUGCGCGAUAACUGUUGAUCUCUCGCCAACUCGUACGUCCCUCGGACCGACCGACGGAACAAACGAAAUAAACGCGUGACAUAAUCCUUGAAAAUAAUAAUAAGACUCGGUUAUUUCGACGUUUGACACGAUGCAGUCGUUCUUCUUUAGUGCCAAUCUCGAUUCUUAUCCAAUUAUUCGUUUUGUCUCGUCUCUUUAAAUGCGAGGUGCGUUCAAAUUUUUCCUCUCUCUUUCCAUCUUCAUCGCGAUAAAGAAAGAAAGAAAUGUAGAAAUUAAUACAUGCAAAUUUAUUUCUGAUUACAUACAAGUAUAAUAAAAUAAAAUAAAUAAAUAAUUUGAUUAAAUAGAUAGAAAUGAAAUGUCCAUAAAUUUUUAUUGCAUCGAUUGUAUCGUCCAACAUUCAGUCUCGUGACAAGUAUCGUGACACAAAGCGCUUCGUUCACGCUCUGUCUCUUUUUCCAUGAGAGCGUGUAUCGAACAAACGUAAAUUGCGUGAAAUUAUGCGUCGUAUCAAGUGUAAUUGACUUCAUGAUUCGUACCAUCCAUGUGAAUUUAUAUUUAAAUUCCGCUAGUAACAGGAACACAGAUAAAUAAGAAUAAAUAAGAAUGAAUGACGUGAUUUUUUUUUUUCCUUUAAAAAAAAAAAAUUUAUUUCGAUAUAACGAGUUCCGUUUCAAUCAGAACAUUUAAAUAUAUCUUACAUCGCAUGCAUAUAUAGUUAUCUUUGUUUUGAACAAACAAACGAUCAAAUCGCAUCGUUACUAAUUUUAACGAGAAUAUCGUCCAAUCUCUGACACGUUUCGAUAUGGUUGUUACAAGUUGCUUGAUACAAGUUGUUUGUCAAAAUGAUUCUUUAUUUUAAGUGAAUUGAGAUUCUUAUUAAUAUUCUAACAUAAUGAUAUCACGAAUAAUUAUUUUUAUUUAAUUUAACAAUUAAAUUAAAUAUCGUAUUAAAUAUCCUUCAAUUAUACGCACAUAGAAAAAAAAAAAUAUAUAUAUAAUGCUUACCUAUAUUUUUAACAUCUUUGAAUCGAAGAAAAUGAUUGUUCUUUGUUAAUGUUGAUGUCCUGACUGAUUUUCUUGUACGGUAUUUGAAUUAUACGUAAAAAAAAAUGUAAAACACCACACACAAAAGAGUAAUAUGAAAAUAAAAAAUGUUAUAGCGUUAAAUUUAUCCCAUCCGAAUAUAAUUUCGUUCACAGUUUCAAAUUUUUUUCUAAAUCUCAUAUUCAUUUUUAAUUCUUCGUAUUACUAUUACUUUUUAUUAAUUCUAAAGUAUAUUUUAUUUCUGAUCUAUGAUAAAAUCCUCUUGCACUAGCGACACAUCAAAUGAUGAUCCAAAUACAUUAACACUCUGUAUAUAUGAUUACCUUCUACAAUAAAUGUAAAAGUACGAUUAGAUAACGUAA
Apis cerana (Asiatic honeybee) is the source of this 2491-nucleotide long non-coding RNA. RefSeq lists it as uncharacterized. NCBI's taxonomy places the organism in Eukaryota, Metazoa, Arthropoda, Insecta, Hymenoptera, Apidae. The record is from RefSeq and is a predicted model, not a curated record.